Molecule: non-coding RNA, 82 nt
Organism: Schizophyllum commune H4-8
Lineage: Eukaryota; Fungi; Basidiomycota; Agaricomycetes; Agaricales; Schizophyllaceae
Source: Rfam
GGCACUAUGGCGGAGUGGUUAACGCGAGAGAUUAGAAAUCUCUUCCUCUCUGAGGGCGCAGGUUCGAAUCCUGCUGGUGUCG